GUUGGUGUUUUCAGUAAGGGGUGAGUUUCUAGGCUGAAAUUUCAAUUAAUUGUUUUAAGUUUUGUGAAUAGAGCAUAGGAAUUAGCUAAUGGCAUCAAUUGACAAUUGGUUGGUGUUAAUUUGUUGUUGUAAUGAUAGGUUUAAUGAUUCCAAUAUUUGAACAUGUUGGUAAACCCCUUGAGUAUUUUGGCAAUUGGGUAGUUGAGAUGUUCCCUGCCUAUUUUCAUCGCUUUAUACACAUUUCACGCAAUUUUAAAACCCGCAGCAUCGCGCGGGCACUUUUGCUAGUUUUUACUAAAACUGGCCUACUUAGCAUUUUCCAAAAAUAAAUAAAUAUAUGAGAUAUGACUCAGUGGCGUUGGUAGUGAUUAUGACAACGAGGGAGAUGCUUGUGGUGGCAGAGGAGCAAAACCACAUAAGUAUUUGUUCAAAAUGAUAAUAAAACUGAAAUUAGCUUAAACCCAUAUAUUUCCCCUAUUAGCUUAAAUAAUAAUAAAACUGAAAUUAAAGUUGAAACUCUAGUUGAGUCCUACUCGUAUCUGACAGAGUACUACAUGUUAGCUCUGUGUUAGAACACAUUGGAUUCGAAUUACCGUGAAGAUUGUCUCUGGGCAUCUCUUGUUGUGGACAUAAAAGAAGCUUGGGAGGGAGUUGCAAGUACUCAACCUCUCCCUCAAGCAUCUCUAUAACUUUGUUCAUCGCAGGAGUCAUACACAGAAGGUUUUGUGAACCGUUGCAAGUUUGCCUUUUCUAGUGUGCAGGUGCAGCUUGAAGCAUUUUCUAUGGGCACUGAUUUUUCCUACAAACUCAUCGAUUAAACGGCAUGAAUUAGCUCAAGCCACCUGGAAAUGGCAACCUUUCUUAUUCGGAAAAGUCAACUCUCUCAUCCAUUGCUAUUUGGAACCGACUGGACAACGGCAGAUUAUGCCUUGCAGCAAUUUCUAGAGCUGUUAAAAGCGACUGGCAAGACACGUGGAUCGAAGAAGGCAGCUGCUUCAAACACCAGUGACCUUCCGGCCAACAAGCUGAAGAAUGUACAUCACUUUGUGCACGGUAUGUGGCAACACGGGUAUGCCCAAGCUUGGAAAAAAGUCCGGAAAGUCUAUUUUUCAUAUAAUCUUUGAGAGUCCCAUUGGGUUGCAAUCGAAAUUGAUUUCGUCCGACAUACUGCAACUGUGUAUGACUCAUAUGUUGAAUAUACCAAAUCUUCGAAGCUGGUUACACUUCUGCAACCUGUUAGCGAUACGCUUGCACGAGUGCUGUACAAUAUGAAGUUUUAUGAAGAUUCUGAGGUUGAAGAGGUUAAGCAAAAGGGGCUGUAGAUGUCGAGGUUUACGCCAUUCUCAGUUUGCAUCAUUGCAGGUGUGCCACAACAAAGAGAUGGGCAAGAAUUGUGAAUUUAGUGCAUUUUAUCCAAAUUUUACAUAAAUGCAGUUGUAAUUUCCCAACUUAUUGGCCUCACAGUACGUCUUGCGGAAUCAUGACCGUUCAAUUCAUCGAGCAUCUCAGUGCUGGGCUUUCGGUGCAUAAAAUUGACCCG
Molecule: non-coding RNA, 1540 nt
Organism: Prunus mume (Japanese apricot)
Lineage: Eukaryota; Viridiplantae; Streptophyta; Magnoliopsida; Rosales; Rosaceae
Source: RefSeq, a predicted model, not a curated record